AUAAUGGCAAUGACGGAACAAAGUAAGCGUCGAUCCCACGGCAAAGAGAGCUCGCGGCAGGUGAAAGCGAGAGCGUGGCGGCUGCUGAAAAUACAGUCCCGAGCCGCUGUUCUGAACCAGUUUUUUCAGUAGGAACAGCCGUCCGGCAGGCGUUACUCUGCCAGGGCAUGAAAGUGCCCCUAAGGUCACGGACCGCAAGGACGUGAUAAAUUGAGGUGGUACCGCGGUAAAGUCAUUUAUCGCCCUCUGC
RNAcentral lists this non-coding RNA (250 nucleotides) under Clostridium sp. Its description in RNAcentral is "T-box sequence". It matches the Rfam family "T-box leader". Rfam says of the family: Uncharged tRNA acts as the effector for transcription antitermination of genes in the T-box leader family. T-boxes are found upstream of many aminoacyl-tRNA synthetase genes and some amino acid biosynthetic genes usually in Gram-positive bacteria. The record is from RNAcentral. Lineage: Bacteria; Bacillati; Bacillota; Clostridia; Eubacteriales; Clostridiaceae.